RNAcentral lists this transfer RNA (81 nucleotides) under Paragonimus skrjabini miyazakii. RNAcentral's name for it is "Paragonimus miyazakii tRNA". It matches the Rfam family "tRNA". Rfam says of the family: Transfer RNA (tRNA) molecules are approximately 80 nucleotides in length. Lineage: Eukaryota; Metazoa; Platyhelminthes; Trematoda; Plagiorchiida; Troglotrematidae. The record is from Rfam by way of RNAcentral.
GGCUUCGUAUCUCAGCUGGUAGAGCGCUUUUCGCGUUCAGGCAUGGUAUUUCUGUUGCUGGUUCGAAUCCAGCCGAAGCCC